CAUAUAUUAAUAUAAUAAUUCAGUUUGAUGUUAUAAUUCAUGUACUAAGGUUGUUUGGCAUGUAAUAUCAUGAUAAGGUUUGUAAAGAACGACGCAACAUCAUGUAUUUAAAAUCAUUCGUGUUCUGAGCUUGAUUGGCAUAUAUUAUAAUAAUUCAGUUUGAUGUACGUUAUAAUUCAUGUACUAAGGUUGUUUGGCAUGUAAUAUCAUGAUAAGGUUUCUAAAGAACGACGCAACAUCAUUUAUUUAAAAUCAUUCGUGUUCUGAGCUUGAUUGGCAUAUAUUAUAAUAAUUCAGUUUGAUGUUAUAAUUCAUGUACUAAGGUUGUUUGCCAUGUAAAAUUAUGAUAAGGUUUCUAAAGAACGAAGGAACAUCAUGUAUUUAAAAUCAUUCGUGUUCUGAGCUUGAUUGGCA
This is a non-coding RNA of Paramuricea clavata, 414 nucleotides long. The record is from the annotation of a GenBank genome assembly. Lineage: Eukaryota; Metazoa; Cnidaria; Anthozoa; Malacalcyonacea; Plexauridae.